CCAUGCAUGUCUAAGUAUAAGCAAUUAUACGGCGAAACUGCGAAUGGCUCAUUAUAUAAGUUAUAGUUUAUUUGAUAGCACCUUACUACAUGGAUAACUGUGGUAAUUCUAGAGCUAAAACAUGCUAAAAAUCCCGACUUCGGAAGGGAUGUGUUUAUUAGAUUAAAAACCAAUGCCCUUUUGGGCUGCUGGGUGAUUCAUAGUAACCUCUCGAAUCGCACGGCCUUGCGCCGGCGAUGGUUCAUUCAAAUUUCUUCCCUAUCAACUUUCGAUGCGAAGGUCUUGUCUUCGCAUGGUUACAACGGGUAACGGAGGGUUAGGGCUCGACCCCGGAGAAGGAGCCUGAGAAACGGCUACUACAUCUAAGGAAGGCAGCAGGCGCGCAAAUUACCCAAUCCCGACUCGGGGAGGUAGUGACAAUAAAUACUGAUACAGGGCUCUUUUGGGUCUUGUAAUUGGAAUGAGUACAAUUUAAAUCCCUUAACGAGGAACAAUUGGAGGGCAAGUCUGGUGCCAGCAGCCGCGGUAAUUCCAGCUCCAAUAGCGUAUAUUAAAGUUGUUGUGGUUAAAAAGCUCGUAGUUGAACCUUGGGCCUGGCUGGCCGGUCCCCCUCACCGGGUGCACUGGUCCGGCCGGGUCUUUCCCUCUGUGGAACCGCAUGUCCUUCACUGGUCGUGUCGGGGAAGCAGGACUUUUACUUUGAAAAAAUUAGAGUGCUCCAGGCAGGCCUAUGCUCGAAUACAUUAGCAUGGAAUAAUGAAAUAGGACGCGUGGUUCUAUUUUGUUGGUUUCUAGGACCGCCGUAAUGAUUAAUAGGGACAGUCGGGGGCAUCAGUAUUCAAUUGUCAGAGGUGAAAUUCUUGGAUCUAUUGAAGACUAACUACUGCGAAAGCAUUUGCCAAGGAUGUUUUCAUUGAUAAGGAACGAAAGUUAGGGGAUCGAAGACGAUCAGAUACCGUCGUAGUCUUAACUAUAAACUAUGCCGACUAGGGAUCGGACGGUGUUAUUGAUUGACCCGUUCGGCACCUUUCGAGAAAUCAAAGUGCUUGGGCUCCAGGGGGA
This 1062-nucleotide ribosomal RNA is filed under the name Triadelphia disseminata. RNAcentral describes it as "SSU rRNA". It matches the Rfam family "Eukaryotic small subunit ribosomal RNA", at positions 49 to 1122 of the family's 1831-position model. The record is from RNAcentral. Lineage: Eukaryota; Fungi; Ascomycota; Sordariomycetes.